Molecule: long non-coding RNA, 220 nt
Filed under: Solanum tuberosum (potato)
Lineage: Eukaryota; Viridiplantae; Streptophyta; Magnoliopsida; Solanales; Solanaceae
Description: long non-coding RNA (STUB_LNC003179)
Source: RNAcentral
ACCCCCCUAAGCUCCUCUCCCUCAGCGAGUAAAUUGUGGACAUAACCACAACGCGUACAGCUCCCAGAAAAACCAGCAGCUUUCAACGACGAAAUGGAGGCGAAUUCACGGCGUCUUCACGGUCUCAAAGUUCCGUCAAUACACACGGAAAAGUAGCAACAGAGGUGCAGCGCUGCAAAAUUUUGUUUUCUUCCCCAACGUACCUAUCCGCAUUAAUAUC